RNAcentral lists this long non-coding RNA (1985 nucleotides) under Homo sapiens (human). Its description in RNAcentral is "HSALNT0094847". The record is from RNAcentral. Lineage: Eukaryota; Metazoa; Chordata; Mammalia; Primates; Hominidae.
UCACAUGACUCUCCAGUUGGGUGUCCAUCGUGGGUGUGUGUCCUUAGUCUCAGAUGGCUGGUGGACGCAGGAAAAAAGCCCCAUCACUGCUGCUGCUUCAUGGCCGAGAGCCGCAGAUUAGAGUGGAUUCCUGAGAUGGGGGACCAGCCAACCAUCCCAAGAGCAGGAAGACAGGAGGCACAGAGAGUCGGCAGAUCAAGCCCAGAUAUUUAUGAAGCACUGAGCCUGGUGCUGGGGACACAGCAGUGAACCAAACAGGCAAGAACUUUGACUUCAUGAUGAUGAAGACUGACAAUACACAAAUAGACACAUCUGAAAAUACAAUAAGUCUUCAUAAAUGCCUAGAAGAAAAGAAGUGUGCUAUGGCAGAAAAAAAAUUAACCGAAGAGCCUAUAUUCAAGAUGAAGAGGGAGGCAAAGAGGCCACGAAAGAGGAAUAAACAAAAGGAGGAUACCAGCAAAGGCCAAGACAGGCUGGUUUCAGGAGCUAGAGCUGAGGAACACCAGUGUGGCCUGAGUUCCUAAGAGGCUUCACAGGGGGUAGCUAAACCAACAAGUGCAUUCAGCAAGACAUUGUGGAGUCUGUUUGCACUAUGAACCUCUGUUUUCUCAUCUGUAAAGUUAGGAGAGUGAUACUAACCACACCAGAUGUUUGAGAGAAUGAUUAGCCUCCAGCCCAGUAAAAUGGAAAUCCCAAGUCAAGAUAUGCAAGUGUGCCUUUGUAAUACCAGCUUUGCUUCAUUGUAAUGUUUUCCUGAUCUUCCUCAGUGGUGACUGGAGCACUUUGCUUUGGGUUAUUCCUGCCCCUAAACUAUUAAAUGAUCUAUACACAAAUCUUGCAGGGUUGCACCAUGCAGGGAUGCUGUAGAGCUUUGGUCCUGGGCACUGCGUCACCCUCUAAUUUAUGACUCAAAAGCAUUCCAGUACUAAUGGUAGGGGUCUAGCAUUAUUAAUAUAUAAGGCUGCUGUUUGUGUGUGGAAGAAAACAUUCUUGGCCGAGUGCAGUGGCUCACGCCUGUAAUCCUAACACUUUGCAAGGCCAAGGCAGGAGAAUUGCUUGAGGCCAGGAGUUUGAGACCAGCCUGGGCAACAAAGCAAGACCCUCUCUCUAAAAAAAAUUUUUUUAAAAAUUAAUCGGGUGUGAUGGUGCACACCCGCAGGCCCAGCUACUCGGAAGGUGGGUAGGAUGGCUUGAGGUGGAAGGAUUGCUUGAGACUGGAAGGUUGAGGCUGCAGUGAGCUGUGAUUGCGCCACUGUACUCCAGCCUGGGUGACAGAGAGACUCUGUCUCAAAAAAACAAGUUCUUUCUUUUCUCAUAUCACUCCUUGCCUCUGUGUUCGGGAGACAUUUUGAAAGUUUAGAAGGCACACUGAGAUAAAUAUGAGCAAAAGUGUUUUACCAACUGUAAAGCAGCGUUUCUCCACCCUGUGCCAUCUAGGUGUCAUUUCCCCUCUGAUACACCACUCCUCCUUAGAGAAUCACAGAAUCUUGGGUCACUGGUAUUACAAAUGUAUGGGUACGUUAUUGUUUUCUAAGAAUUAAAGUAUAUUCUAUUUAACAUAUCAUGUUUCACAGUCUUAAAAACUCUUCGAUGAAACUUAUUUAAAGGCCUAACAACCCUGCCUGUUUGUUUUUAUAGCACUUAUCUGAUUGCACCAUUGGAUAUUAACUCAUGGAUAUAUUUUGUUGAUCACCUCUUUUCCUAAUUCUAGAAUGUAAACUUGAGGAGACCUGUCUGUCUUGGUCACUGUUGUGUGCACAGCAUCUAGAAAUAUGCCAGGCCUAUAGUAAGCAAUCAGUAACUAUGAGUUUAAGGAAGUAAUGAAUCCCAUUUUACAGAUGGGACAACUGAGGUUUCACAGGGUUCAGUAACUUUUCCAAGUUCUUACAGGAAUUAAAUGGUAGGGCUAGGCUAGAAAUCAGAUCCCUAGAUUUCUCCUCUAGAACUCUCUCCGGGAUACUACCUCUCUUUCUGUGGCAUAAUCA